Molecule: long non-coding RNA, 582 nt
Filed under: Cyanoderma ruficeps (rufous-capped babbler)
Lineage: Eukaryota; Metazoa; Chordata; Aves; Passeriformes; Timaliidae
Description: lncRNA (ENSCRFG00000012708.1)
Source: RNAcentral
GCCCGCCCCCGCCGCCCCCGGGGCUGCGCUCCGCGGGGUGACAACGCCGAGCGCGACUCCGCCAGCGGAGACGCCGCCGCCGCCCGAUCCCGCUACCUUUGUGCCCUCCCAGAAACCGGCGAGAAAGCGAAGCAAAGCCCCGCGCCGCUCCCUUACCUUGUGGGCAGAGAGAGAAAAAGUUGAAGCACUCUCCUUCUACACCUCCCUCACUUUUUUGUUUAAAUUUAAAUAUUUGAAAAUUUGGAGGACAUAUUUCUUGAGAGCUUUUCAAAAAGUCUUCCUCAUCUCUUGGGACUAUGCAGUGUUUUAUCUUUCCUCUUCAACACCAGUGGAAAAAAAAAAGCUUGCAGGGUGGUUUCAUCUGUACCAUCUGUGGGCCAUAUUGCACAUCAGAUGGCAGGAUAAAAUCUGCAAUGAGAACAUUUUGGGACAUAAAAGUCUUUCAGGGUUUGAAGCCAUGAUAUUCACAACACAAAUGUACAGAGCCACUCAUGUAUCUGAAACAGAAGACGCAGCAAUGCCAAAGCAGCUGCUGCAGUGAAAUAAAAGAGAGACCACACAGUUUGGGGAACAUGAUGGCAU